Molecule: ribosomal RNA, 552 nt
Filed under: Colletotrichum sp. 2 ONH-2014
Lineage: Eukaryota; Fungi; Ascomycota; Sordariomycetes; Glomerellales; Glomerellaceae
Description: eukaryotic LSU rRNA
Rfam family: 5.8S ribosomal RNA (bases 191-344)
Source: RNAcentral
CCUGCGGAGGGAUCAUUACUGAGUUUACGCUCUACAACCCUUUGUGAACAUACCUAUAACUGUUGCUUCGGCGGGUAGGGUCUCCGUGACCCUCCCGGCCUCCCGCCCCCGGGCGGGUCGGCGCCCGCCGGAGGAUAACCAAACCCUGAUUUAACGACGUUUCUUCUGAGUGGUACAAGCAAAUAAUCAAAACUUUUAACAACGGAUCUCUUGGUUCUGGCAUCGAUGAAGAACGCAGCGAAAUGCGAUAAGUAAUGUGAAUUGCAGAAUUCAGUGAAUCAUCGAAUCUUUGAACGCACAUUGCGCCCGCCAGCAUUCUGGCGGGCAUGCCUGUUCGAGCGUCAUUUCAACCCUCAAGCUCUGCUUGGUGUUGGGGCCCUACAGCUGAUGUAGGCCCUCAAAGGUAGUGGCGGACCCUCCCGGAGCCUCCUUUGCGUAGUAACUUUACGUCUCGCACUGGGAUCCGGAGGGACUCUUGCCGUAAAACCCCCAAUUCUCCAAAGGUUGACCUCGGAUCAGGUAGGAAUACCCGCUGAACUUAAGCAUAUCAAA